Molecule: long non-coding RNA, 2096 nt
Organism: Acinonyx jubatus (cheetah)
Lineage: Eukaryota; Metazoa; Chordata; Mammalia; Carnivora; Felidae
Exons: 3
Source: RefSeq, a predicted model, not a curated record
UGUAUGUAUGUAUGUAAUCUCUGCACCCAGUGUGGGACUCAAACUCAUGACUUCAAGACCAAGAGUCAUAUGCUACUGACUGAGUCAUCCAGGCACCCCAAUGUAUGAUUUUUAAAAAACUGAUUUUAAUUGAAAUAACAUACAGAAUAGUACACAAAUCACAGAUAAGUUUUCUCAAAGUGAACACACUUGUUUACCACCCAGUGAAGAUAUAAAGCCUUAUCUAAAAGCAUGUAUAUUCUUUCCUAUGUUCUGUCUUGAUGGCCAGGGAAUUUAGGCCCAGCCUUACUUUUGGACUUAACUUUUUUUCCUCUGUGUGGGAUGUCCUUUCCCUUUUGAUGGGUUUUCGGAAAAUAGAAAGAAGAACUCCAGUUUUUCUUUAAACAAGAAGAGACUUUAGGACUUGAAAUUAAAACGAUGCAUGUUGCAAUAGAACUGUUACACGUCUAUAGAUAAAGACCAAACAGCAGCUGGGUAAACUAUCAAGGGAUCCCCUCACAGUCCACCUAUCAGGUUACACAGUUGAGGGGCUUGUUCUGAAGUAGAGCCUCAGAAGACAAAUCAGAGGCUGAGUCCCCAUUACUGAGAGGACAUAUGGACCCACAGUACUUGCUAUGAGAAAGUCUUCUGUCUCUGACAACUCUAACCAAUGCCGUGAUUCAGUUUAAUAGUUUUUGUUGAACUGGAAGACUGUCAAAAUGGCUUCCAGACAAUUGUCUGUCCAAGUACAUGAUACGUUAAUCUUUCAAGUCAAUGGGAAGCAUACUUAAGUAUAAAAUGGCCGCAUGUCAGAUGACAGGGAAAAUCCACGAUUAGCUAUUGCUACUGCAAUCCUGCAACUCACCUUGUCACAGUGAUUAGUCUAUGAAUGACACUUAAAUAAAGCCUAAACCAAUCAAUGCUUUUUUUUUCUUUCUUUUUUUUAGGACUAGUGAUUGACUCAAAGUGGAUGCGUGACUUAAAUUGUUCCAAUUGGAGUGAAGCACAGAAGCCGAGGCCUUCUUCAGGGAGCUAAAUACUUAUACCUGGCCCAAGAGUUGGAGACUUUGAAAGAGGAUCCAAGGGAAGUUAGAGCAGCUGCAAAGCCAGCAGGAGCAAUCCAGAGAAGAGUCAGAAUAUGUGUAAGAGGAGUCCUAUCUGGAGAAGAAGAAGAAGGUGGAGGAGGAGGAGAAGAAUGAGAAGGAGAAGGAGAAGAAGGGGGAGGAGGAGAAGGAGAAAGUCCUCUGACUCAGUGGAAACAAGGAAUCAGAUAUGCAUGUAUUUCAAGAUAAAAAUCUCAUGAGCAUGGGGUUGAGGAUAAAGUUGAAAGUAGAGUAGAUUUUCUGUCAUUGGAAAAGACAAUAUGGGUGUGAUCCCACCAGAAUAAAACAUGGUAAUGUGAUAGGGAAAGGAAAGACCUGCUCUCAGCUCUUUUGUCAAAUUCAAAGCAUAUAACUCACAUGCUCUGGGGAAGUUGAGAACAAGAGCAUCCAUUUUAAAGGCACAGAAUGGAAAGACAAAGGACGUGGCUGAACCUCGGUGGGCAAUGUUGCAUCCUCAAGGGAGAAAGAGGCUUCGCAGCUGAGCCACAGUAGAUACCAGUGCAAGAGAUCAGAAGCAAGUAUCAAACAUCCUGAAACAGUGAUGGGUAAAAAUACAGAAAACAAAGUUUGAACACAAGCACUCUCUCCCCCAUUGCCUUUAGGGCACAUAGCCUCUCCUACCACUAUCACUAUGAGUCUACUCUGUAAGUUAUGUAGAAUGAGAAGAAAAUCCACAAGGUACAAUAUUUAUUUGAAAUUCUUACCAAAGAAGUGGAAGUAUUAUUAAUUGUCAAGGCAAAGACUUUCCCUGCUACACACUGGAGUGGAGGCUCAUAAAAAAUAUUCAGUUAUAGAAAAAAAAAUGAUAAACUACAUUUUCCUUAUAGAAUGGUAAAUUUGCCAUAUUCUCACUGUACCACAAAAGAAGCCAGCCUGAAGACAAAGGGCAGAGCAAAGAGAAUCAGGGAAAAAUAGAACCAGAGCCUUGCCUCAUCAAACUUGCAAGAAACCUGCUGACCCCCUGCAUUAAUAAGCCAAAUGUGUUGUUUGGCUUCUUUUAUUGUUAAAUUCUGU